This 220-nucleotide ribosomal RNA is filed under the name Phyllopsora africana. RNAcentral's name for it is "partial small subunit ribosomal RNA". It matches the Rfam family "Bacterial small subunit ribosomal RNA", at positions 947 to 1210 of the family's 1533-position model. Lineage: Eukaryota; Fungi; Ascomycota; Lecanoromycetes; Lecanorales; Ramalinaceae. The record is from RNAcentral.
UAAUUUGAUAAUCCGCAAAAAACCUUACCACAACUUGAAUAUUUAUAUAUUUAUAUAUAUUUACAAGCGUUGCACGGCUGUCUUCAGUUAAUGUCGUGAGACUUUGGUUAGAUCCAUUAAAUUAACGUAAGCCCUUACUUUAUUUAUAAAUAAAGUAGUUCCCCACUAUAUUGGAUAUGAUAACAGGGACUAAGACAAGUCAUCAUGGCCUAAAUAUUGU